This 492-nucleotide ribosomal RNA is filed under the name Platynectes sp. CR236. RNAcentral's name for it is "partial 16S ribosomal RNA". It matches the Rfam family "Bacterial large subunit ribosomal RNA", at positions 1846 to 2597 of the family's 2925-position model. The record is from RNAcentral. Lineage: Eukaryota; Metazoa; Arthropoda; Insecta; Coleoptera; Dytiscidae.
UAAGGUCUGACCUGCCCACUGAAUUAUUGAAGGGCCGCAGUAUUUUGACUGUGCAAAGGUAGCAUAAUCAUUAGUUUUUUAAUUAAAAGCUUGUAUGAAGGGUUGGACGAAGUAAAAUCUGUCUCUAUAAAAUUUAUUAUAGAAUUUAAUUUUUAAGUUAAAAAGCUUAAAUUUUUAUAAAAGACGAGAAGACCCUAUAGAGCUUUAUACAGAUUAUUUUAAUAUAAUUUAAGAAUAUUUUGAUUUUUAAUUAUAGUUUGUAUUUUAUUGGGGUAAUAAUUAGAUUGAAUUAAUUCUUUUUUAAUUAAUACAUUGAUUAAUGGUUAGUUGAUCCAAAAUUUUUGAUUAUAAGAUUAAGUUACCUUAGGGAUAACAGCGUAAUUUUUUUUGAGAGUUCAUAUCGAUAAAAAAGUUUGCGACCUCGAUGUUGGAUUAAAAAUUAUUCUGGGUGUAGAAGUUCAGAAUUUUGGUCUGUUCGACCAUUAAAUUUUU